RNAcentral lists this ribosomal RNA (406 nucleotides) under uncultured bacterium. RNAcentral describes it as "partial 16S ribosomal RNA". It matches the Rfam family "Bacterial small subunit ribosomal RNA", at positions 29 to 526 of the family's 1533-position model. The record is from RNAcentral.
AUUGAACGCUGGCGUCAGGCCUAACACAUGCAAGUCGAGCGAGCGGCGGACGGGUGAGUAAUGUCUGGGGAUCUGCCCGAUGGAGGGGGAUAACUACUGGAAACGGUAGCUAAUACCGCAUACAAUCGGAUGUGCCCAGAUGGGAUUAGCUAGUGGGUGGGGUAACGGCUCACCUAGGAGACGAUCCAUAGCUGGACUGAGAGGAUGACCGGCCACACUGGUACUGAGACACGGUCCAGACGCCUACGGGAGGCAGCAGUGGGGAAUAUUCGACAAUGGACGAAAGUCUGAUCGAGCCAUGCCGCGUGAGUGAAGAAGGCCUUCGGAUGGUAAAGCACUUUCAGCGGGGAAGCGGUACUCACAGAGAAAGCAACGGCUAACUCCGUGCCAGCAGCCGCGGUAAUAC